Molecule: ribosomal RNA, 512 nt
Filed under: Photobacterium sp.
Lineage: Bacteria; Pseudomonadati; Pseudomonadota; Gammaproteobacteria; Vibrionales; Vibrionaceae
Description: bacterial SSU rRNA
Rfam family: Bacterial small subunit ribosomal RNA
Source: RNAcentral
GAGUGCGGUCGCAAGAUUAAAACUCAAAUGAAUUGACGGGGGCCCCGCACAAGCGGUGGAGCAUGUGGUUUAAUUCGAUGCAACGCGAAGAACCUUACCUACUCUUGACAUCCAGAGAACUUAGCAGAGAUGGUUUGGUGCCUUCGGGAACUCUGAGACAGGUGCUGCAUGGCUGUCGUCAGCUCGUGUUGUGAAAUGUUGGGUUAAGUCCCGCAACGAGCGCAACCCUUAUCCUUGUUUGCCAGCACAUAAUGGUGGGAACUCCAGGGAGACUGCCGGUGAUAAACCGGAGGAAGGUGGGGACGACGUCAAGUCAUCAUGGCCCUUACGAGUAGGGCUACACACGUGCUACAAUGGCGUAUACAGAGGGCUGCCAACCAGCGAUGGUGAGCGAAUCCCAGAAAGUACGUCGUAGUCCGGAUUGGAGUCUGCAACUCGACUCCAUGAAGUCGGAAUCGCUAGUAAUCGUGAAUCAGAAUGUCACGGUGAAUACGUUCCCGGGCCUUGUACAC